This 574-nucleotide long non-coding RNA is filed under the name Monodelphis domestica (gray short-tailed opossum). RNAcentral describes it as "lncRNA (ENSMODG00000044490.1)". Lineage: Eukaryota; Metazoa; Chordata; Mammalia; Didelphimorphia; Didelphidae. The record is from RNAcentral.
CUUCAUCCAUAGAUCCGAAAGUAAAUUUCUUCUUUGUUCCUACAGCUUGCUUGAUCUUAUAUAACUGGGUCACGUAUCCAUUUGGAGUUUAUAUGCUGUGAAGAUAUUGGUCAAAACCUAAUUUCAACCAGACUACAUUCCAAUUUUCUAACAACUUAUUAUCAAAUGAUUAUUUUAUGAAUAUCAUUGGAGUUACUGAGCAUCUAGAUCAAAUAAAUAAAUGUCUUGGGCCAGAACUAGAAGUGGUAUGAAGCCUCUGCCAUUCUCAACCAUUACCAGUCACUGAAUCCUGGAGUCCAAACACAGAAAUCCAGUGAUUUCCAGACCAGAGCUUCGUUAGAGGAGAAAAUACUCUAUUGUGAAUAUUCAGUUUUUUGGAGCAAAAAGAAGAAAUUCUACUUUUCAUUCAACAGAGAAAGCUGAAAGAAAGAUAUUCUUUAUCUUCUCAUUCCUUCUCAUUCAAGAUUAUCUUGCAUUUGCUUUGCAUGAUUCUGAAUAUACUUAUCUAAGUGCCUGAUGUCCAUCCUGGUUGAAUGUAAGUUUCUUGAAAGCAAAAUUGCUUUAUUUUGGUACC